AUACGGAGGAUGCGAGCGUUAUCCGGAUUCAUUGGGUUUAAAGGGUGCGUAGGCGGACAUGUAAGUCCGAGGUGAAAGACCGGGGCCCAACCCCGGGGUUGCCUCGGAUACUGUGUGUCUGGAGUGGACGUGCCGCCGGGGGAAUGAGUGGUGUAGCGGUGAAAUGCAUAGAUAUCACUCAGAACACCGAUUGCGAAGGCACCUGGCGAAUGUCUUACUGACGCUGAGGCACGAAAGCGUGGGGAUCGAACAGGAUUAGAUACCCUGGUAGUCCACGCAGUAAACGAUGAUGGCUGUCCGUUCGCUCCGAUAGGAGUGAGUAGACAAGCGAAAGCGCUAAGCCAUCCACCUGGGGAGUACGGCCGCAAGGCUGAAACUCAAAUGAAUUGACGGGG
This 395-nucleotide ribosomal RNA is filed under the name uncultured bacterium. RNAcentral describes it as "partial 16S ribosomal RNA". It matches the Rfam family "Bacterial small subunit ribosomal RNA", at positions 523 to 918 of the family's 1533-position model. The record is from RNAcentral.